CCUGACUGCUAUCGGAUUGAUACUAAGCCAUGCGAGUCAUUGUAGUAAUACAAGGCAGACGGCUCAGUAACGCGUAGUCAACCUAACCUAUAGACGGGAAUAACCUCGGGAAACUGAGUAUAAUGCCCGAUAGAGCAUUAUGCCUGGAAUGGUUUAUGUUCCAAAUGAUUUAUCGCCGUAGGAUGGGACUGCGGCCUAUCAGUUUGUUGGUGAGGUAAUGGCCCACCAAGACUAUUACAGGUACGGGCUCUGAGAGGAGUGGCCCGGAGAUGGGUACUGAGACACGGACCCAGGCCCUAUGGGGCGCAGCAGGCGAGAAAACUUUGCAAUGUGCGAAAGCACGACAAGGUUAAUCCGAGUGGUUUCUGCUAAAGGAACCUUUUGUCAGUCCUAGAAACACUGAUGAAUAAGGGGUGGGCAAGUUCUGGUGUCAGCCGCCGCGGUAAAACCAGCACCUCAAGUGGUCAGGAUGAUUAUUGGGCCUAAAGCAUCCGUAGCCGGCUUUGUUAGUUUUCGGUUAAAUCUGUACGCUUAACGUACAGGCUGCCGGGAAUACUGCAGAGCUAGGGAGUGGGAGAGGUAGACGGUACUCGGUAGGAAGGGGUAAAAUCCUUUGAUCUAUUGAUGACCACCUGUGGCGAAGGCGGUCUACCAGAACACGUCCGACGGUGAGGGAUGAAAGCUGGGGGAGCAAACCGGAUUAGAUACCCGGGUAGUCCCAGCUGUAAACUAUGCAAACUCAGUGAUGCAUUGGCUUGUGGCCAAUGCAGUGCUGCAGGGAAGCCGUUAAGUUUGCCGCCUGGGAAGUACGUACGCAAGUAUGAAACUUAAAGGAAUUGGCGGGGGAGCACCACAAGGGGUGAAGCCUGCGGUUC
RNAcentral lists this ribosomal RNA (875 nucleotides) under uncultured marine group I thaumarchaeote. RNAcentral's name for it is "bacterial SSU rRNA". It matches the Rfam family "Archaeal small subunit ribosomal RNA", at positions 21 to 903 of the family's 1478-position model. The record is from RNAcentral. Lineage: Archaea; Thermoproteati; Nitrososphaerota.